GGUUUGAUUAUGGCUCAGAUUGAACGCUGGCGGGAUGCUUUUGUGGUGAACGGCAGCACGGACUUCGGUCUGGUGGCGAGUGGCGAACGGGUGAGUAAUGUAUCGGAACGUGCCUAGUGGCGGGGGAUAACUACGCGAAAGCGUAGCUAAUACCGCAUACGCCCUUCCCGGGAAGCGGGGAGACCUUCGGGCCUCGCACUAUUAGAAGCAGCCGAUAUCGGAUUAGCUAGUUGGUGGGUAGCGGCUCUCAAGGCGACGAUCCGCAAACUGGUUUGAGGGAAGGACGACCAGCCACUGCUGGGACUGAGACACGGCCCGGGCUCUGCGGGAGGCAGCGGUGGGGAGCACUGGAUGUCGGAAACCCUGAUCCAGCCAUCCCGCGCGUGUGCGAUGAAGGCCUUCGGGUUGUAAAGCACUUUUGGCAGGAAAAACGGCUGGAUAAUGCCCGUGCAGCUGUGACGUGCCUGCAGAAUAGCGCAGCUGCUACGUGCCAGCAGCCGCGGUAAUGUGGGUGGCGUUAAUCGAAUUACUGGGCGUAAAGCGUGCACGGCGGGUUCGGAAAGAAAGAUGCUUGAAAUCCCAGAGCUUAACUUUGGAACUGCAUUUUAACUACCGAGCUAAGAGAGUGUCAGAGGAGGUGAAGGAAUUCCGCGUGUAGCAGUGAAAUGCGUAUGCGGGAGAGAGCGAUGGCGGCAGCCUCCUGGGAUAACACUGACGCUCAUGCACGAAAGCGUGGGGAGCAAAACAGGAUUAGAUACCCUGGUAAUCCACGCCCUAAACGAUGUCAGCUAGCUGUUGGGGCCUUCGGGCCUUGGUAGCGCAGCUAACGCGUGGAGGUUGACCAUGCAGAAGUGCGGUCGCAAGAUUAAAACUCAAAGGAAUUGACGGGGACCCGCACAAGCGGUGGAUGAUGUGGAUUAAUUCGAUGCAACGCGAAAAACCUUACCUACCCUUGACAUGUCUGGAAUCCCGAAGAGAUUUGGGAGUGCUCGCAAGAGAACCGGAACACAGGUGCUGCAUGGCUGUCGUCAGCUCGUGUCGUGAGAUGUUGGGUUAUUCCAUAUGGCUUACAGCACUUGUCAUUGAAUUUGCUACGAGGGCGCUCUAAUGCGGGCUGGUGACAAGCCGGAGAAGGUGGGGAUGACGUCAAGUCCUCAUGGCCCAUAUGGGUAGGGCUUCACACGUCAUACAAUGGUCGGGACAGAGGGUCGCCAACCCGCAGGGAGGGAGCCAAUCCCGAGAAACCCGUCGUAGUCCGGAUCGCAGUCUGCAGCUCGACACGAAGUCGGAAUCGCUAGUAAUCGCGGAUCAAUAAUAGCGGUGAAUACGUUCUCAGGUCUUGUACACACCGCCCGUCACACCAUGAGAUUAGGUUUUACCACAGAAGUAAGUUAACUAACAGCAAGGAGGCAGUUACCACGGUAGGAUUCAUGACUGGGGGUGAAGUCGUAAUAAGUGCUCUGUUUACCACAGUACUCAGACAAUAGCAGCA
RNAcentral lists this ribosomal RNA (1492 nucleotides) under uncultured Bordetella sp. RNAcentral's name for it is "partial 16S-23S ribosomal RNA intergenic spacer". It matches the Rfam family "Bacterial small subunit ribosomal RNA". Lineage: Bacteria; Pseudomonadati; Pseudomonadota; Betaproteobacteria; Burkholderiales; Alcaligenaceae. The record is from RNAcentral.